CGUUAAGCACAGCUCAGUAGCACGUGGCUAACCUGCCCUUGGGACGGAAGAACCCCCGGGAAACUGGGGCUAAUUUCCGAUAGGUGAUGAUACCUGGAAUGGUUUUUUGCUCAAAGGACGCUUAGGACAUGCUUCUAGGCGUUGCCCAAGGAUGGGGCCGCGGCCGAUCAGGUUGUUGGUGAGGUAACGGCUCACCAAGCCUUUAACCGGUGCGGGCCGUGGGAGCGGAAGCCCGGAGAUGGGCACUGAGACAAGGGCCCAGGCCCUACGGGGCGCAGCAGUCGCGAAAAUUUCGCAAUAAGCGAAAGCUUGACGGAGCUAUCCCGAGUGCCAUCCGCUGAGGAUGGCUUUUCCCUAGUAUAGAUAGCUGGGGGAAUAAGGAGAGGGCAAGUCUGGUGUCAGCCGCCGCGGUAAUACCAGCUCUCCGAGUGGUGGGGAUGAUUAUUGGGCCUAAAGCAUCCGUAGCCGGCUGGGCAAGUCCCCUGUUAAACCCAACGAUUUAAUCGUUGGUCUGCGGGGGAUACUGCUUGGCUAGGGGGCGAGAGAGGCCGUCGGUAUUCCCGGGGUAGGGGUGAAAUCCUAUAAUCCCGGGAGGACCACCAGUGGCGAAGGCUGUCGGCUAGAACGCGCCCGGCGGUGAGGGAUGAAAGCUGGGGGAGCGAACCGGAUUAGAUACCCGGGUAGUCCCAGCUGUAAACGAUGCAGGCUAGGUGUUAGGGCGGCCACGUGCCGCUCUAGUGCCGCAGGGAAGCUGUUAGCCUGCCGCCUGGGGAAAACGGCUGCAAGGCUGAACUUAAAGGCCA
This 803-nucleotide ribosomal RNA is filed under the name uncultured soil archaeon. RNAcentral describes it as "bacterial SSU rRNA". It matches the Rfam family "Archaeal small subunit ribosomal RNA", at positions 77 to 865 of the family's 1478-position model. The record is from RNAcentral.